AAGGCACUGGGGGAGCCGAAGCUCCCCCCCAAAUUGGUACGUGCUUUGUUUUUAUUGUUAUAUCGAACCUGUUGUUUUUCUUGUCUGGUCCGUCCUGGUCGGAUACCUGCCGCCAGGAGGGCUCCCAAAUUCGGGGCCAAGAGCAAACGGAUUACUUUGGACGCUGAUGUCGUCAUGAUCACAAUUGAUCUAUCCAGUGCAGGUGCUGCCUCAGGGCAGUU
RNAcentral lists this unclassified non-coding RNA (221 nucleotides) under Pseudomonas luteola. RNAcentral's name for it is "Pseudomonas sRNA P29". The record is from RNAcentral. RNAcentral also lists the same sequence under 1 other name. Lineage: Bacteria; Pseudomonadati; Pseudomonadota; Gammaproteobacteria; Pseudomonadales; Pseudomonadaceae.